GGCUGGGUCCUGUGCGACUGAAGCCCGUGAACCGAGUCAGGGCCGGAAGGCAGCAGCUCUCAGCGGAGCCUUUAGAGUGCCGCAGAUCGCCUGGCCGUC
Molecule: signal recognition particle RNA, 99 nt
Filed under: Acidimicrobiales bacterium
Lineage: Bacteria; Bacillati; Actinomycetota; Acidimicrobiia; Acidimicrobiales
Also listed under: 1 other name
Description: signal recognition particle sRNA small type
Rfam family: Bacterial small signal recognition particle RNA
About the family: The signal recognition particle (SRP) is a universally conserved ribonucleoprotein involved in the co-translational targeting of proteins to membranes.
Source: RNAcentral